CCUACUUAACAGAAAAAAGGAAAAAUAGGAAGAAAAGAGACAAGAAUGCAUAUGUUAGUUUGUUUAAACUUGAAUAAAACUAAUUUUGCAUUUUCCUGUGUACUGUAUAAGGAUUAGAAGAAGGCAUGUAAUUAUAUAAGACUUGUGUGGGAGAUGAACAAAAUUUUCUAAGAUAGCUAUACAAAUUUUGGAUCACUGAAAACAUAAUAAAUUCUGUUAAGAUGUCCAAAGCAGAUGCUUGCAUCCCCAAAUUUACAGUAGUCUGUAUAUCUAAUGCCUCACAGUCAUUCCAGAGUAUUCUCAGCAUAGAGAAACCCUAAGUAAGUUUGAAGAAACUAAAGUUGUACAUAAUAACUUGAAAACAGGUAAUAAUUUUAUGGGCAGUUUAAGAUAUUAAUAGCUACCUAUAAUUUGAUUAGUCUCUUUUGACAUCAAUACUUUCCCACAUACUCUCUGACCAUGGGAUUUUUAUAUUAGCAGCUAUAGCAAGCUACCACUUUCAGGUUGCCUAUUUCCUUAAUAACGGAUACCAAAGAAAUGCAGGAACGUGGAAGAAAUGAUGCAUCAUAAUACCAACCCAUGGGGAUACUAGUAAAGAUAAAAUGAUUUAAUUAUGUGGCAAGAAGCAUCAGUAAUCACUAGUUGUCUAAAGACAGUCCUUGUAUGGUGAAGAUUCAAGGCAAAAUGAAUCUGUGUGUCCCCUUCAGGAGAUCUGAACAGGUAGGUAUAA
Molecule: long non-coding RNA, 730 nt
Organism: Peromyscus leucopus (white-footed mouse)
Lineage: Eukaryota; Metazoa; Chordata; Mammalia; Rodentia; Cricetidae
Exons: 2
Source: RefSeq, a predicted model, not a curated record